UACGGAAGGGGCUAGCGUUGUUCGGAAUUACUGGGCGUAAAGCGCGCGCAGGCGGUCAGACAAGUGAGGCGUGAAAGCCCUGGGCUCAACCUGGGAAUUGCGCUUCAGACUGUCUGACUGGAGUUCGGGAGAGGGUGGUGGAAUUCCCAGUGUAGAGGUGAAAUUCGUAGAUAUUGGGAGGAACACCGGUGGCGAAGGCGGCCGCCUGGCCCGUAACUGACGCUACAGCGCGAAAGCGUGGGGAGCAAACAGG
This 253-nucleotide ribosomal RNA is filed under the name uncultured Defluviicoccus sp. RNAcentral's name for it is "partial 16S ribosomal RNA". It matches the Rfam family "Bacterial small subunit ribosomal RNA", at positions 524 to 776 of the family's 1533-position model. Lineage: Bacteria; Pseudomonadati; Pseudomonadota; Alphaproteobacteria; Rhodospirillales; Rhodospirillaceae. The record is from RNAcentral.